Long non-coding RNA from Monodelphis domestica (gray short-tailed opossum), 529 nucleotides. Lineage: Eukaryota; Metazoa; Chordata; Mammalia; Didelphimorphia; Didelphidae. The record is from Ensembl.
GAGAACUUCAAGGAACUCAUAUAAAGAAACUGGGUUUUUUUAGCCUAAAGAAGAGAAGACUUAGGGAGAUCAUGAUAGCUAUUUUCUAGUCUAUGAAUAGCUAUCCCAUGGAAACAGGAUUUGAUUUUUCUAUGGAAUAUAGAGGGCUGAAUGAAGUGAAAGUUUCUGAGAAAUAGGUUUUCACUGGAUAUAAUAAAGUAUUUCCUUAACAAUUGGAUUUUUUAAAAAACUUCCUCAAGAACCAAGUCAACAUGCAUUUAUUAAGCCAUGGACCAUGCAUUGUACUAAGUUUUGGGGAUAGAAAGAAAGGCAAAAAUGAAAAGAACCCUGAACCUUAAGACUACACUUUAAUAGGAGGGAGACAAUGUACAAUUAUUUUCAUAUAUGAUAUAUGUAUAAAGGAAACUGGAGAUGGACACAUGGGUUACCCUCCCACCAUUACUUUCAUGAAGUGCUAGUAAUUUUUGCCUGGAAUUUCUGUUCCUCCAUUCAUAGGGAUUUGAGAGAAUCUGACCAUGAUGACUGCUGA